GGGUAGUUAGCUCAGCGGUAGAGCUUCUGCCUUACAAGCAGAAGGCCACAGGUUCAAAUCCUGUACUACCCA
Molecule: transfer RNA, 72 nt
Filed under: Characiopsis acuta
Lineage: Eukaryota; Eustigmatophyceae; Eustigmatales; Chlorobotryaceae
Also listed under: 2 other names
Description: tRNA-Val
Rfam family: tRNA
About the family: Transfer RNA (tRNA) molecules are approximately 80 nucleotides in length. Their secondary structure includes four short double-helical elements and three loops (D, anti-codon, and T loops).
Source: RNAcentral